AUUGAACGCUGGCGGCAGGCCUAACACAUGCAAGUCGAGCGGAGCGGCGGACGGGCGAGUAAUUCCUAGGAAUCUGACUGGGAGUGGGGGAUAACGUCCGGAAAGGGGAGCUAAUACCGAAUCCUAACAGAUGAGCCUAGGUCGGAUUGGCUAGUUGGUGGGGUAACGGCCUACCAAGGCGACGAUCCGUAACUGGUCUGAGAGGAUGAUCAGUCACACUGGACCUGAGAAACGGUCCAGAUUCCUACGGGAGGCAGCAGUGGGGAAUAUUGGACAAUGGCCGAAAGCCGGAUCCAGCCAUGCCGCUGGUGUGAAGAAGGUCUUCGGAUUGUAAAGCACUUUCAGUUGGGAGGCGUUACCAACAGAAUAAGCACCGGCUAACUUCGUGCCAGCAGCCGCGGUAAUAC
Molecule: ribosomal RNA, 407 nt
Filed under: uncultured bacterium
Lineage: Bacteria
Description: partial 16S ribosomal RNA
Rfam family: Bacterial small subunit ribosomal RNA
Source: RNAcentral